Molecule: ribosomal RNA, 500 nt
Filed under: uncultured bacterium
Lineage: Bacteria
Description: partial 16S ribosomal RNA
Rfam family: Bacterial small subunit ribosomal RNA
Source: RNAcentral
AUUGAACGCUGGCGGCAUGCCUUACACAUGCAAGUCGAACGGCAGCACGGGAGCAAUCCUGGUGGCGAGUGGCGAACGGGUGAGUAAUAUAUCGGAACGUGCCCAGUCGUGGGGGAUAACGCAGCGAAAGCUGUGCUACUACCGCAUACGAUCUAAGGAUUAAAGCGGGGGAUCGCAAGACCUCGCGCCAUUGGAGCGGCCCAUAUCAGAUUAGCUAGUUGGUGGGGUAAAGGCCCACCAAGGCGACGAUCUGUAGCUGGUCGUAGAGGACGACCAGCCACACUGGAACUGAGACACGGUCCAGACUCCUACGGGAGGCAGCAGUGGGGGAUUUUGGACAAUGGGCGCAAGCCUGAUCCAGCAAUGCCGCGUGCAGGAUGAAGGCCUUCGGGUUGUAAACUGCUUUUGUACGGAACGAAACGGCCCUUUCUAAUACAGGGGGCUAAUGACGGUACCGUAAGAAUAAGCACCGGCUAACUACGUGCCAGCAGCCGCCGUAA